RNAcentral lists this ribosomal RNA (735 nucleotides) under uncultured Atopobium sp. RNAcentral describes it as "bacterial SSU rRNA". It matches the Rfam family "Bacterial small subunit ribosomal RNA", at positions 28 to 776 of the family's 1533-position model. The record is from RNAcentral. Lineage: Bacteria; Bacillati; Actinomycetota; Coriobacteriia; Coriobacteriales; Atopobiaceae.
GACGAACGCUGGCGGCGUGCCUAAUACAUGCAAGUCGAACGAUUAAAGCACCUUCGGGUGUGUAUAAAGUGGCGAACGGCUGAGUAACACGUGGGCAACCUGCCCCUCUCAUUGGGAUAGCCACGGGAAACCGUGGAUAAUACCGAAUACUUCGGGACUUCCGCAUGGAAGACUCGAGAAAGCUCCGGCGGAGAGGGAUGGGCCCGCGGCCUGUUAGCUUGUUGGUGGGGUAACGGCCUACCAAGGCAAUGAUGGGUAGCUGGGUUGAGAGACCGACCAGCCAGAUUGGGACUGAGACACGGCCCAGACUCCUACGGGAGGCAGCAGUGGGGAAUCUUGCACAAUGGGCGAAAGCCUGAUGCAGCGACGCCGCGUGCGGGAUGAAGGCCUUCGGGUUGUAAACCGCUUUCAGCAGGGACGAGGCGAAAGUGACGGUACCUGCAGAAGAAGCCCCGGCUAACUACGUGCCAGCAGCCGCGGUAAUACGUAGGGGGCAAGCGUUAUCCGGAUUCAUUGGGCGUAAAGCGCUCGUAGGCGGUCUGUUAGGUCGGGAGUUAAAUCCGGGGGCUCAACCCCCGUUCGCUCCCGAUACCGGCAGACUUGAGUUUGGUAGGGGAAGGUGGAAUUCCUAGUGUAGCGGUGGAAUGCGCAGAUAUUAGGAAGAACACCAGUGGCGAAGGCGGCCUUCUGGGCCAUAACUGACGCUGAGGAGCGAAAGCUAGGGGAGCAAACAGG